Molecule: small nucleolar RNA, 138 nt
Organism: Tachyglossus aculeatus (Australian echidna)
Lineage: Eukaryota; Metazoa; Chordata; Mammalia; Monotremata; Tachyglossidae
Source: RefSeq, a predicted model, not a curated record
CCCCUCUCAGAGUCACACCUGGAGAGUUUCCAGUACUCUACCACUCUCGGCUACGGGAGGGAGGGUCAGGCAGAGAUAUCCCCAUUCCAUUCCUAGCUUGGCCAGUGGCUAGGAAGUGGAAGGCAAUCUGCUACAAGU